UUAAAUUGAAGAGUUUGAUCAUGGCUCAGAUUGAACGCUGGCGGCAGGCCUAACACAUGCAAGUCGAACGGUAACAGGAAGCAGCUUGCUGCUUCGCUGACGAGUGGCGGACGGGUGAGUAAUGUCUGGGAAACUGCCUGAUGGAGGGGGAUAACUACUGGAAACGGUGGCUAAUACCGCAUAACGUCGCAAGACCAAAGAGGGGGACCUUCGGGCCUCUUGCCAUCAGAUGUGCCCAGAUGGGAUUAGCUAGUUGGUGAGGUAACGGCUCACCAAGGCGACGAUCCCUAGCUGGUCUGAGAGGAUGACCAGCCACACUGGAACUGAGACACGGUCCAGACUCCUACGGGAGGCAGCAGUGGGGAAUAUUGCACAAUGGGCGCAAGCCUGAUGCAGCCAUGCCGCGUGUAUGAAGAAGGCCUUCGGGUUGUAAAGUACUUUCAGCGGGGAGGAAGGUGUUGUGGUUAAUAACCGCAGCAAUUGACGUUACCCGCAGAAGAAGCACCGGCUAACUCCGUGCCAGCAGCCGCGGUAAUACGGAGGGUGCAAGCGUUAAUCGGAAUUACUGGGCGUAAAGCGCACGCAGGCGGUCUGUCAAGUCGGAUGUGAAAUCCCCGGGCUCAACCUGGGAACUGCAUUCGAAACUGGCAGGCUUGAGUCUUGUAGAGGGGGGUAGAAUUCCAGGUGUAGCGGUGAAAUGCGUAGAGAUCUGGAGGAAUACCGGUGGCGAAGGCGGCCCCCUGGACAAAGACUGACGCUCAGGUGCGAAAGCGUGGGGAGCAAACAGGAUUAGAUACCCUGGUAGUCCACGCCGUAAACGAUGUCUACUUGGAGGUUGUGCCCUUGAGGCGUGGCUUCCGGAGCUAACGCGUUAAGUAGACCGCCUGGGGAGUACGGCCGCAAGGUUAAAACUCAAAUGAAUUGACGGGGGCCCGCACAAGCGGUGGAGCAUGUGGUUUAAUUCGAUGCAACGCGAAGAACCUUACCUGGUCUUGACAUCCACAGAACUUUCCAGAGAUGGAUUGGUGCCUUCGGGAACUGUGAGACAGGUGCUGCAUGGCUGUCGUCAGCUCGUGUUGUGAAAUGUUGGGUUAAGUCCCGCAACGAGCGCAACCCUUAUCCUUUGUUGCCAGCGGUUAGGCCGGGAACUCAAAGGAGACUGCCAGUGAUAAACUGGAGGAAGGUGGGGAUGACGUCAAGUCAUCAUGGCCCUUACGACCAGGGCUACACACGUGCUACAAUGGCGCAUACAAAGAGAAGCGACCUCGCGAGAGCAAGCGGACCUCAUAAAGUGCGUCGUAGUCCGGAUUGGAGUCUGCAACUCGACUCCAUGAAGUCGGAAUCGCUAGUAAUCGUGGAUCAGAAUGCCACGGUGAAUACGUUCCCGGGCCUUGUACACACCGCCCGUCACACCAUGGGAGUGGGUUGCAAAAGAAGUAGGUAGCUUAACCUUCGGGAGGGCGCUUACCACUUUGUGAUUCAUGACUGGGGUGAAGUCGUAACAAGGUAACCGUAGGGGAACCUGCGGUUGGAUCACCUCCUUACCUUAAAGAAGC
Molecule: ribosomal RNA, 1556 nt
Filed under: Salmonella enterica subsp. enterica serovar Muenchen
Lineage: Bacteria; Pseudomonadati; Pseudomonadota; Gammaproteobacteria; Enterobacterales; Enterobacteriaceae
Also listed under: 6 other names
Description: bacterial SSU rRNA
Rfam family: Bacterial small subunit ribosomal RNA
Source: RNAcentral